UUGUGUAGAAGUAAAACUACAAUUAAUUUCGGCUUAAUUUCUGGAUCAAACUGGUCCCACACAAA
RNAcentral lists this transfer RNA (65 nucleotides) under Bemisia sp. PB-2004. RNAcentral's name for it is "tRNA-Arg". The record is from RNAcentral. Lineage: Eukaryota; Metazoa; Arthropoda; Insecta; Hemiptera; Aleyrodidae.